GCCGGGCGCGGUGGCGCGCGCCUGUAAUCCCAGCUACUCGGGAGGCUGAGGCUGGAGGAUCACUUGAGCUCAGGAGUUCUGGGCUGCAGUGCGCUAUGCCGAUCGGGUGUCCACACUAAGUUCAGCAUCAAUAUGGUGACCUCCCGGGAGCGGGGGGCCACCAGGUUGCCUAAGGAGGGGUGAACUGGCCCAGGUCGGAAACGGAGCAGGACAAAACUCCCGUGCUGAUCAGAAGUGGGAUCGCGCCUGUGAAUAGCCACUGUACUCCAGCCUGGGCAAUAUAGCGAGACCCUGUCUCU
Unclassified non-coding RNA from Bos mutus (wild yak), 299 nucleotides. It matches the Rfam family "Metazoan signal recognition particle RNA". Rfam says of the family: The signal recognition particle (SRP) is a universally conserved ribonucleoprotein. It is involved in the co-translational targeting of proteins to membranes. NCBI's taxonomy places the organism in Eukaryota, Metazoa, Chordata, Mammalia, Artiodactyla, Bovidae. The record is from Ensembl.